Molecule: ribosomal RNA, 156 nt
Filed under: uncultured prokaryote
Description: partial 16S ribosomal RNA
Rfam family: Bacterial small subunit ribosomal RNA
Source: RNAcentral
CCUAUCAGGUAGUUGGUAAGGUAACGGCUUACCAAGCCUAUGACGGGUAGCCGGUUUGAGAUGAUGAUCGGCCGCGAUGGGACUGAGACACGGCCCAUACUCCUACGGGAGGCAGCAGUGGGGAAUAUUGCACAAUGGACGAAAGUCUGAUGCAGC